This is a long non-coding RNA of Alexandromys fortis (reed vole), 3340 nucleotides long. RefSeq lists it as uncharacterized. Lineage: Eukaryota; Metazoa; Chordata; Mammalia; Rodentia; Cricetidae. The record is from RefSeq and is a predicted model, not a curated record. The transcript is spliced from 2 exons.
UCAGUAUUUAAACAAUGGAUUGGAUCUGGCAUCGGUUGAAUAUUUAUUUGGCUUUUCCACUUGAAAGAACAAGGCAUAUAGAAACGAUGUAGGUGAGAAAGAGACAUCUUCUCCGUUUCCACAUAUUAUUUAGAAGGAGCGGCGUCCCCUCUAAAGCAUUUAAAGGAAAUGACACUCCAAUUCAUAGUAAGAAACACAUUUUCUAAAUCGACUUUGCCAAAGCAGUGUAGGUUUGCAGCGAAACAUCGCCCUCUACUGGACAGACUGGCAUUCUGCAACGGUGGUAGAUUCAAAACAGAACAAAAGUUAAUUCUAUUAGGUGUCAAAUCCCAUUAUGAAUAACUGCUAUCAGGCGUCCUUCAGUGUGGCUCUUGACACUGGAAGCAGAGAACUGAUGACUUUCCAUUUGCUUCUGGUGGUGGCUGAAUGAAGAGCGCGGAAUGAGCACAGCGCCGACUACAGGGCACACUGGAGUAGUCCUGUUUGGGGACUAUCGAAAUCGUCAGAAUGAACCAGCCCCAGCGAAUACAGAGAGCGUCACACGGAGAGGACCCAUGAAGGGAGAAGACAGCCUGUGCUGCUGAGCAAGGGGCCUGCAUGACUUGUUACCUAAAGCAGAAUGACCUGGAGGAACAGAAGAAACAAUGGUCGUUGUCCUUAACAACCCACUGACUGCUGCUUACACCUAAUUUUGCUUGCCUGCAGCCCUAUCUGUGGUUUUAGAGUAAUUUGAACCAGACCCAAUCCCGAGGCCUUGGCUACUGUUAUGCCCAAAUCUGCGAAGUCUCCCAAAGGCCAACAAGGAGACCGAGUCCCGUAUGUAGAAGCAAAGAGCCUUUAUUUUGUGCAAGUUUGCAAACUUGAUCUCUCAGCAUGUCCAACGUAUUGGAAUAAACGAAGAGCCCCGAGCUCAGUUAUGAGUUGAGUUUUUACACUAGUAAAAGUGGGGGUGAAGGGUUUCUGAGGUUCAGGACCCCUGAUUGGCUGACAUUUGUCUAGGGGUGUCCUGGUGCGUGUGUGCUGGCAGGUGAUCCUAUCUACAGUGGUUGGAAGUUAGGCAUUUCCUUUGGUCUGGUGGUGCUGAGGGUAAUCUCAGUUUGUGGUUCUUUCUGCAACCAGGUAUUGCUUCAGGGUAAACUACUGAGACUCUGGCCUAUUAAAUUUAUGGAUGACUGAGUCUUACUCUGGCAGUUGAUAAGGGUUGGAAGUAAAGAACUUCCUUCGGGUGAUCUGUUCAUAUUUAGCUUAUCAUGGCUGGCUCCUACAGUGACAGAGCCUCUCUUCCACUCUUACCAGUUCCGGCAUGGUUUUUUCAGGAUUCUGGGGACAUUACCGAUCAGAAAACAAAGGGGCAGAAGAUGGCUCAUCUGGCAAAAGUCUGGUGAACUGAGUUGGAUGCCCAUGUAAAGGUAGAAGGAGAGAAAUAAAUCUAGGUGUCCUUUGACCUCCCAACAUAACCACGGUGCUCACAAAGUAAUAGUACACUUUUAGUUUCCAAAAUAGUUUGCUUUCCACAACUUUGAUGUCACCUAAUAGAACCAAUUUACAAAGCUAAAGGGUUAUUUGGCUCCUAGGUUCAUAAACUGUUGGGUCUUUGAUAUUUAUUUUCAAGGAGACACCAGCAGAUGUCAGCAAAAACUAAGGUGUCACAUGAACUUUCAAUAAACACUAAGUUUUUUCACAGGGUGACUAUGAUUUAAGUGGGAAGUUUCACAUGAAAGGUUGGUCCAGCUAGGACCAGCCACCUUGUUCGGCACAGUCAACCAACCUCCCUUUUGGGAGGUUGAGAGAGGUGUGAGUAGAGAAAUAUGGAUUUCUGGGAGGUAAAACUUUCCCAAAGAUUCAAAUGUUCUUGUUAAACAAACCUAACAACAGAUAGGGAUUCUUUCCAGUGGUAAGCUGGCUUAGCUGAUAAAGUGCUUGCUGCUCACGUAAGGAUGGGUUUGGAUCCCCAGCACCCACAUUUGUGGUUGUGGUAGCCACCUGUAAUCAGACUAAGGGUGACUCCCUGCAUAAGCUGACCAGCUAGAACAGUCCAAUCAGCAAGCUCCAGGGCCAGGAAGUCAUCCAGCCUCAAUAAAUAAAGUGGCAAGGAAUAGAGGAGGCAUCCAAGUCAAUCUGGGGCCUACACAUCCACGUGCACACGUACACACACACACUUAAAAUAACAGCAAGCCUGCAUUGUUUCUAAAAUAGUCUUUAUUAGUUUACUCAAGAUCAGAUAUACAUUUGUCUACAAACGCUGCAAUAUGCUCAUUGUUUGGUCCCCAAAUGGACAAAGAACAAACAGCAAAACUGUUCAAGAUGUUUCCCCUUGGAAAAAGUUAUUACUGUCUACAAAAAGAUCUGUUCAAAGGAAUGCUGAAAUAUAGCCAUUUUAUAUAAGGUCUUUCUCCAUUAGAAAUAGACUCGCGCUGUAAGCAAAAAUAAAUGCCUACAACUUGGCAGUGUGGUGACAAAUGCAUGUCAGCCUGGGAAGGCUGAGGUAAGAAGUCUGCAGGGCUCCCAGGCCAGCCUCUGCUAUAGAGCAAGGUCCUGCUGCAAACAAAACAAAACAAUACACACAAAAAAUGCUCUGAAGAGCACAAGCACAUUUAGGAAUCAAAGGAGAAACAAGAAAAAAUGACUAUAAUCAAAGGAUCCUAAGGAUCCAUUUAAAACUGGAGUCUACCUAUACCCCUACAAAAUAGUUAAACUUAGGGAAAAAAAAUCCUGCCUUUUAAUUUAAAAAUGUAGUUAAAGCUUUAUUGAUACUACUCAGCUGAAAUUCAGAUCCAAGAACUAUCAGUUUCUGAUAGCUGGGCCAAAGAAAAAACUUAAAAGAACAUUUAAUUCCAAGUUAAAAUUUUUAUCAAAGAAAAACCAGUGAGUGUAGAGAUAAGAAAAUGAACAAAAAAAUGGUAUUCUAAUGGUCAAUUCAACUCACUACACCCAUACAGAUUUCUCUCCAGAAACUUAAGUUCUACUUUCUCUCUCUACUUUUUUCAUCACCCCCGCAAGUGACAUUUUCAGAACUCUCACUCAAAUGUGUGAGCCAAUGGGUAUGUAGUUCUCAGAGUACAGAAAUAAUGCUGCAAUGAUUUUAAUAAAAAUGGCCCCAUUGGCUCACACAUUUGAAGGCUUAAUCACCACCGAGAGGUACUUUUUGCUAAGGUCUUGUUGGAGGAAGUGUGUCACCGGGCAUGAUGAGCUUUGAGAUUUCCCAAGUCCAGGCCAGGCCCAGCCUCUUUCUCUGCCUGUGGAUAGGGAUGUAAAGGUCUCAGACACUGCUCUAACACCUGACGGCACACCACCAGCUCUCUACCACAGUGGCCUAAGCCUCUGAACUGCAAGUGAGCCA